RNAcentral lists this ribosomal RNA (292 nucleotides) under uncultured bacterium. RNAcentral describes it as "partial 16S ribosomal RNA". The record is from RNAcentral.
GGACUACUAGGGUAUCUAAUCCUGUUUGCUCCCCACGCUUUCGUGUCUCAGCGUCAGUACUCGUCCAGUUGGCCGCCUUCGCCACCGGUGUUCCUCUCGAUAUCUACGAAUUUCACCUCUACACCGAGAAUUCCACCAACCUCUCCGGUACUCUAGCCUCGCAGUAUCGAGUGCACUUCCAGGGUUGAGCCCUGGGCUUUCACAGCCGACUUACAAAACCGCCUACACACGCUUUACGCCCAGUAAUUCCGAACAACGUUUGCACCCUCUGUCUUACCGCGGCGGCUGGCAC